RNAcentral lists this ribosomal RNA (586 nucleotides) under uncultured Rhodopseudomonas sp. Its description in RNAcentral is "bacterial SSU rRNA". It matches the Rfam family "Bacterial small subunit ribosomal RNA", at positions 485 to 1063 of the family's 1533-position model. The record is from RNAcentral. Lineage: Bacteria; Pseudomonadati; Pseudomonadota; Alphaproteobacteria; Hyphomicrobiales; Nitrobacteraceae.
UGUAAGCUCCGGCUAACUCCGUGCCAGCAGCCGCGGUAAUACGGGGGGAGCAAGCGUUGUUCGGAUUUACUGGGCGUAAAGGGCGCGUAGGCGGCCUCUGCAAGUCGACUGUGAAAUCUCCGGGCUUAACCCGGAACGGUCAGCCGAUACUGCAGGGCUAGAGUGCAGAAGGGGCAACUGGAAUUCUCGGUGUAGCGGUGAAAUGCGUAGAUAUCGAGAGGAACACCUGCGGCGAAGGCGGGUUGCUGGGCUGACACUGACGCUGAGGCGCGAAAGCUAGGGGAGCGAACGGGAUUAGAUACCCCGGUAGUCCUAGCCUUAAACGAUGAAUGCUUGGUGUCUGGGGUUUUAUAGUCCCCGGGUGCCGUCGCUAACGCUUUAAGCAUUCCGCCUGGGGAGUACGGUCGCAAGACUGAAACUCAAAGGAAUUGACGGGGACCCGCACAAGCGGUGGAGCAUGUGGUUUAAUUCGACGCAACGCGAAGAACCUUACCUGGGCUAGAAUGCCUCUGACCGGCGUAGAGAUACGCCUUCCUGGGUAAAACCAGGCAGAGUGCAAGGUGCUGCAUGGCUGUCGUCAGCUCGU